UUUUUGACAGCAUGGGUGAAAACAUUUCCCCAAACAAGCUUUCGGACGACUUGCCUAAUACACAAAUUGUUGUGUCUUUGGCUUGAGCUCAGAUGAAAACUCGCGCCCCAGUACGUGUAGAAGCUGCCGCUGAAGCAAAACGGAAGCUUUUUGACGUCAUUGGAUAUAAUCAGGUUUGUGAUGACAAAUAUCGCAUCAGAGCUGCGGACGCUAGAUUUGCAGGAUCUCAUCAUGAUGCUUAUAUUUGGAGUAUUAGUCCCAUUUGCAAACAUUUCAGAUAUCUACAUAGUUAUGGAAUAACUGACAAGUUGUUGGGAGAUGCAGGGUAUCCUUCCGAACCAUGGCUUAUAACACCCAAUCGUAACCCAGAUUCAGGCACACAAGAAUCUAUUUGUAAUAUAUUUCAUGCCAGAGAACGAAACAUCGUUGAGAGAACAAUAGGAAUACUGAAAUCCAAAUUUAGAUGCCUGCUUGGAGCAGAUAGGCGUCUCAAUUAUUCGCCUAAAAAGUGCACAAAUAUUAUAAACAUAUGUUGUGCACUACACAACAUAUGUAUAGAAAACAACAUUGGUUGGCUGCAGAAUCUUGAUGAAAUGUUUUUGUUUAUAAAUGAUUAAAUUAAAAACGAUAUAAUAACAAAAACAUCACAGCAUAAAUAUUCCAAUGUUUUCAUAUGUUAUCGUAAAGGAGUUUCAUUUUCAUUUUCAACAUUCCUUUUGUAAAUUAAAAAAGAUGUAUUUACAUUAACACUGCAAUAUUUUUGGUUAUAUCUAAUUGGGUUUAUUUUUUAAAAUGGCAAGUCGUUCAUAUCUUAUUUCUAUCUGGUUGUUCGCUUUUGCCAAUUUUUAUUCUAAUUUCUUAUUAGCUAUUUUCAUCAUUAGCUCUAAUUUCUUAUUUGCUACUUCGCGUUUUUGGUCCAACAGCUGUUGAUUUAAAGCUACACCUGUGGACAUAAAAAUAGGAACUUUUUUUCUGACCGAAAAACAUAGUUCUUUUCAGAAUUAUUUGGUAGCCCUGAAAAGAGCUGGUUAAGUGGUGGUUGGGAGGUGGUGUUGCGGUGUUCCACAGAGCGAAACACAUUCUAACGGUCAAUGUGUUGAUCAUUAUUUUCUUUCACUGCCUGGCAGCGAGUAGCCAUAUCUAGGAUGAGCUUCUUGCAGGUUUCUGGAGGUAUGCGUUUCCACAUUUCCUCGCAGCGUACCCAUAGGUCAUCCGCUGAGGAUGCAUGCUGGUUCUUGAGCUUGUCCUUAAGAUUCGACCCCAGAUUUUCAAUUGGAUUGAGGUCAGGACUCAACGCAGGCCACGGUAGAACUUGCACAUCUUGGUUUGCCAAAUAACAUCUAACUGUUCGUGAUGUGUGCUUUGAGUCGUUAUCAUGCUGAAAGAUGUAAUGCUCUUCGUCGCCGAAUGUUUGUCGAGCGUAUGGAAACAUCUUACGACUAAGUAUUUUUCUGUACCCUUCCGAGUUCAGUGUCUCGAUGAUACGGACCAAAGGACCCGGGCCGUGCCAGGAGAAGCAACCCCACACCAUUACGUGGCCGCCUCCGUUCCGGCUGCAGCUUCCGAACCUUCCGUGGUCUCCGGGCACAGAACCCAGCGUCGUGUAAACGGCGAGACGCCGUCUUCGACGAAACUUGCAAUCCAAGUUCCUGCUUGAUUCCAGUGCAAGUUUUGGAAGGGUCCACCCUGCUCUUUUUAACAAUCUGCGCGUCAACGUUAGCCGUUGUUUUUCGCGGACGACCUGUCGACUUACUCGUAGUGUCGCUACGAAUGGCGAUGUCCACAAACGUCCGCGAACGGCCGAACGCCUUGCAGAUUGUCUUUAUUUUGACGUUCUCACGAAACAGCCCCUGAAUGUGUUUUUGUUCCUCUGGUGUGCAGUGCUUACCGCAACCCAUGAAGAUUUUGUGGAUUUUUUUAACAGCAACCUUACACCUUGACCACUGACUGAUGAAUGAAGUGCAAAACGAUUUGGCUCUCCUUUUAUACUGCCGCGACACGUCAUCGGCACACGUAACUCAGAUUAGUAGCGCACCAAAAAUGGGAGUAUAUAAGGCAAAAAUCGGCGAUUGCAACUUCAGUACGCCUCUCACUCUUGCCGAUGACACAUCUAGCGCAUGCAUUGAGCCAAAAACAAAAAAACUCACACAAUUUUUUUUUCAUUUUUAUGUCCAGCGGUGUACUAUUUAAA
Anopheles merus is the source of this 2191-nucleotide long non-coding RNA. RefSeq lists it as uncharacterized. Lineage: Eukaryota; Metazoa; Arthropoda; Insecta; Diptera; Culicidae. The transcript has 5 exons. The record is from RefSeq and is a predicted model, not a curated record.